This 563-nucleotide unclassified non-coding RNA is filed under the name Hevea brasiliensis (rubber tree). The record is from RNAcentral. Lineage: Eukaryota; Viridiplantae; Streptophyta; Magnoliopsida; Malpighiales; Euphorbiaceae.
AGCGUUUCAUCAUCUUCAAAUUCAUUCAAACAAACAGCACACUCCAAAGCUCCUUUACCAAUUUGAUGAUCCUUCACUUCAGCAUAAGUAAAAGUCGGAAAAGUCUCAAUAACCGCUGCAUCUAAUCCACGAGCCGCCGCAGCACGGCGGCGCAUGGAUAGAGCUCGCCGGACACUGCCGCUCAAUCCAGAAGCCUGAGUGCAGUGUCGAAUGUAAAUAGAAAAAGCAGCCAUGAAAAAGAGCGCAGCAAUAAGAACAAUUAUGAUAAUUGCCAAAGGAUGACUGAGCCUUGCAUAUUGAAAUUUAUUUCCAGUAGUUGGUGGCUGUGCGACUGAUUCGUCAAUUAAAGAAGAACAUGUGAAGAGAAACACAAAGAGAAGAUAACUAAGAAGAGGAGAUUCUUGCUUCAUAGAAUUGCCCAUAUCUCAUACUAAUCUGGGGAAGUAAGCUUUAUAAUUUUGAAUAUCAAAGAAAUUGAAAUAACUGUGGUUCGAUUCGUUUGGGGGUAUUAAAACAAAAAUGGUGGAUGGUGCAGAAGGAUCCUACUUGGCAGACAGAAUUGA